GGCGAUGUGCUGCAUGGGAAAAAAUGCCAAAUCAACUUUUCGAAGUUGCGAGUCAGAUUUUUUGCCGUAUUAAUACGAGACACCACAUUGAACAUUUCCAAAACGUUCUUUCUUUACAAGAGAAUCACCGGCUUCCUUUUGUCGCCUUUUUCGGUAACCGUGGGGAAACGCAGUGGUGCAAAUGAGUGCUGAUAGGCUAGGCGGCAAAUUGCUUUUCACGAGCUUCUUGUUCUCCUUUCGACGUUGCCACUUGCCACUGCGUGCAGCUUCUUGUGGGUGCUGCGCUGAGGAAUCCUCUCUUGCUCUUGCCAUUCAACAAGCAUGCUGGUGAUAGUCACUGUUUGGUUUUUGCUUCUGCGAUUUUCGGGGAUCGGCGGGUGGCGAGGGGGACGCCUCGGCGCGGCAUCUUAGGGCCCAGUGCCCCCACUCUUCGUGGGGAAGCCACGCAGCCCCCACCUAACCCCUGCCAAUGCCGAACCACCUCUGGUGGUGGCAGGGGCGAGCACCUACGAGCUGGGGGGGGUCAGAGCGCUUCAUCGCCACGGAUAUCGGCGGUCGGGUCCUGGACGGCGGUGCGUCAGAGCGGGCUGCGACAGCGCACGCGUCCGUGCCACCCAUGAUGGACAGCGUGUCAGCGUGACUCGAGCUAUCCCACGCCGGGCCGUCGCACUGCCUGCUGCUGGGGAGCCUGCGCCAUCGCGAGGGAUGCACCAGGGGUGGCAACCGGCACGAUGGGAGUGACUGUGAGGCGACCUGGGAGGCGGGUGGGCGGGGUAUGAGGCAGCGGCCGUGCUCGCAGAUGACUGAGCCGGCGCACCGCCGUAGCGCGUGUGUACCGCUACUUCGCACCACGCGGGAUGGGCCUGUGGCAGGCCGGGCCGAGUGGAUUGGAGCGCAUGUUGCACGGCCGAAUAUACUGGGUAGAGAGGAGAGGACAGUGGUGUGUGCGUGUGCUCAGGAUACAAAGGCUAGUUUGUCGCAAGCCGUCUGAAAGAAGAGUGAGUAAAGCAUGAAGAGGAAGAAAUGAAGGGGAAUCGUUGUGAAGGUGUGCGAAAGGCGUUCAUGUGACGCCUUUUUGAUAUGAGGUUUACGUCCUGUGUUUAGUAAAGAGGAAAGUGUGGUUUUGUAUGACUAACUGGAUCCAAAGUUUAAUGUUGUUGUUUUUCAGCGACCGACUUGCUGUGGCAAGGCUUUUUAUCGUCACUGUCGCUCCUGUUUUAACUGUUGAUCUGUAGGACAGGUGAGGUGAGUGCCUUUGAGGUUGGACGUGCUUUGCGCGGAGCUGAACCGCACCAGAGGAGAGCGUAAAGCUGUUGGAGACGCGGUAAUGGAUAUAAGGUUUGUGCAAGGCAACAAUGUGGCUUUGUGUCGUGAUAGGUCCGCGAUCUGGUAUCUAUGGGCUGUCUUUUCACAUGUAUUCAAGUGAAAAGUCUUGCUCUCGUCGCUGUUGAAGCUGAGUCGAUGGGGCGCCGUUGUUUU
This 1479-nucleotide unclassified non-coding RNA is filed under the name Leishmania donovani. RNAcentral's name for it is "gene:unknown". Lineage: Eukaryota; Euglenozoa; Kinetoplastea; Trypanosomatida; Trypanosomatidae. The record is from RNAcentral.